GAUGAACGCUGGCGGCGUGCCUAAUACAUGCAAGUCGAGCGAACGGACGAGAAGCUUGCUUCUCUGAUGUUAGCGGCGGACGGGUGAGUAACACGUGGAUAACCUAUCUAUAAGACUGGGAUAACUUCGGGAAACCGGAGCUAAUACCGGAUAAUAUUUUGACACGCAUGGUUCAAAAGUGAAAGACGGUUUUGCUGUCACUUAUAGAUGGAUCCGCGCUGCAUUAGCUAGUUGGUAAGGUAACGGCUUACCAAGGCAACGAGUCAUAGCCGACCUGAGAGGGGGAUCGGCCACACUGGAACGGAAACACGGUCCAGACUCCUACGGGAGGCAGCAGUAGGGAAUCUUCCGCAAUGGGCGAAAGCCUGACGGAGCAACGCCGCGUGAGUGAUGAAGGUCUUCGGAUCGGAAAACUCUGUUAUUAGGGAAGAACAGAUGUGUAAGGAACUGUGCACAGCUUGACGGUACCUAAUCAGAAAGCCACGGCUAACUACGUG
Molecule: ribosomal RNA, 497 nt
Filed under: uncultured bacterium
Lineage: Bacteria
Description: partial 16S ribosomal RNA
Rfam family: Bacterial small subunit ribosomal RNA
Source: RNAcentral